CGCAUUUCUUUGCGCGGGAGUGCGACCCGCUACGUCGUUGAUCUGUGCGUUUAUCGAUGAGCGCCGCGAGGAGUUCGGGGUCGUACCGAUCUGCCGGGCACUGGCCGUGCACGGCGUGCAGAUCGCCCCG
Non-coding RNA from Mycobacterium kansasii, 130 nucleotides. NCBI's taxonomy places the organism in Bacteria, Bacillati, Actinomycetota, Actinomycetes, Mycobacteriales, Mycobacteriaceae. The record is from Rfam.